GACGAACGCUGGCGGCGUGCUUAACACAUGCAAGUCGAACGGAAAGGCCCUGCUUUUGUGGGGUGCUCGAGUGGCGAACGGGUGAGUAACACGUGAGUAACCUGCCCUUGACUUUGGGAUAACUUCAGGAAACUGGGGCUAAUACCGGAUAGGAGCUCCUGCUGCAUGGUGGGGGUUGGAAAGUUUCGGCGGUUGGGGAUGGACUCGCGGCUUAUCAGCUUGUUGGUGGGGUAGUGGCUUACCAAGGCUUUGACGGGUAGCCGGCCUGAGAGGGUGACCGGCCACGUUAGGACGGGAAUACGGCCCAGACUCCUACGGGAGGCAACAGUGGAGAAUAUUGCACAAUGGGCGGAAGCCUGAUGCAGCAACGCCGCGUGCGGGAUGACGGCCUUCGGGUUGGAAACCGCUUUCGCCUGUGACGAAGCGUGAGUGACGGUAAUGGGUAAAGAAGCACCGGCUAACUACGUG
Molecule: ribosomal RNA, 468 nt
Filed under: uncultured bacterium
Lineage: Bacteria
Description: partial 16S ribosomal RNA
Rfam family: Bacterial small subunit ribosomal RNA
Source: RNAcentral